CCGGAAGAUUCCAGCAGUCCCCAGGCCGACAGAGGACAGACGCAGGACAGACGCAGCAGUGGAUUGGAAGUCUUGUACACGAAUGGCAGAAGCAGGAGCUUCUGCCCAAAGCCAUUGCUGCCUGUGUGUUUGCUUGUUCCAGGAUCAACAUGUGCCACCUGGAGGCGUUGGCGGCGGAAGAGGCCUCAUUGAGGAGUGAGAGCAGGCCAAGUAACUGGGGCAGCAGUCCAGUGGAGAAGAGUGACUCUUGGUGGUGUGGGCCAAACCAAGGACAUACUCGGAGCGUAACAAGGAGCCCUCUGGGACAGAUUAGUUUAAAAGAACUGUUGUUUUCCCCUGCCCUUUUAAAGACCUUCCCAUUUUAAGAGACAUUUUAUUCCCAUAGGUUUUAUCUUCUCUCUGCAUCCUUGCACAAUAAAUGUUUAUUGUUGGAA
This is a long non-coding RNA of Myripristis murdjan (pinecone soldierfish), 434 nucleotides long. RefSeq lists it as uncharacterized. The transcript has 2 exons. Lineage: Eukaryota; Metazoa; Chordata; Actinopteri; Holocentriformes; Holocentridae. The record is from RefSeq and is a predicted model, not a curated record.